AUCCACGCUGUAAACGAUGGACACUAGGUGUAGGUAGAGUCAAAUCUAUCUGUGCCAAAGCCAACGCGUUAAGUGUCCCGCCUGGGGAGUACGGCCGCAAGGCUAAACUCAAAGGAAUUGACGGUGGCCCCGCACAAGCAGCGGAGCGUGUGGUUUAAUUCGAUGCAACACGAAGAACCUUACCCGGGUUUGACAUGCACGUAGUAGUGAAGCGAAAGCGGAACGACUCUUCGGAGAGCGUGCACAGGUGCUGCAUGGCUGUCGU
RNAcentral lists this ribosomal RNA (265 nucleotides) under uncultured bacterium. Its description in RNAcentral is "partial 16S ribosomal RNA". It matches the Rfam family "Bacterial small subunit ribosomal RNA", at positions 793 to 1055 of the family's 1533-position model. The record is from RNAcentral.